CACCAGUGCAGAAAAUACACUAAAACAAAUAAAAGUAAGAAAUAUUAGAUUUAGCUUUUUACCCUUAAGCAAAUACAUUAACAUCAUAGUAUUCUACCCUUAAGCAACUGUUGUGAGGAAGCUAAUAGAAACCAACUAGUAUAACAGCUAGAACAUUUCAAUCCUAAUUCAUAACCUAAUUUUUAGUUCUCCUCUUAUAAAUUAUAAGAGACCUAUCAGUUGCCCAUGAAAAGAACCUAAUUUUCAUAUUUCUUUCUACAAACAAUAUUUCAUAAAUCUUGACAUAUUUCUACAAACAAUCUUUGCAAAAAUCACUAUUGUCAAAAAUAUCUACAAAAUGCCUAAAUCUUGCAACACUUGAUUCCUUUGCACAUUAGCGACAUCCAAAAUCCAUUGACAAAUAUAUUGCUCCCUAAACUGUUGCAGUUCAUCCUGCAAAAACAAAAAUGCACAACAUUUCAAUAAAAUGAAACAUUUAUAUGAAAGGUCAUGGGUAAUUGGGAGAAACAACUACAAAAAAUAAAAUUUCUCAACAUAUGUACAAAUAAUCAUCAACAAAAUCUUAAAGUACAUUGUAUGAAAUGUAAUUGCACUAACAAAUUCGACAUUAACAAAAUACCAUGAAGCAAAUUGUUACGCAGUUAUGCAGGUACUAUAAGCUUUCCUUCUUUGUAAUAGAAUCUAUUUCAACAACUUAAAGAAUAGAAGAAGAAAAAAAUCAAGCAACCUCAAAGAAAAGUGAGACAAAUUCUAAGAUAAUAUAUUCAUAUGUACAAUAAUCAUAUAAACUAUAUACUAUGAAGUUUCAAAUUCAAGUGCACAAGUCUCGUUACUAUUAACUUCUAGGACUAACUCUUGAUUAUGAAUCAGUAUUUUCAACUCCACCAGUACCUACCUUCAACAUCAAUAAUAUAUAAAUAUUGAAGAGCAAACAAAAAGAAAUAUAUAAAAUUCAAAUUUGGUUUUGGAUAAAAUAGGUAUAUAGUGAAUUAUACCCAUAAAAUCUUAGCCUUCUGGUUGGAUUCCCUCUUCCAAAAGAACCGGACAAAUGGUUUCCAAACGGAAACAACUACGCGUGCAAAAUAUGAAAUUAAAGUUAAAAACAAAUAUAAAAACUAAAAUAAAUAAAAUAUCUACCUAUAGAAAUUAAAUUACUAAUGAACUAAACUACUAAUUAAGUCUAUCUUAAAUUAUCUCAAUUAAGUCUACAUAUUUCUUCUCACAAAUCUUCUCUUUCCUAAUUGUUUUUGUGUUAUCACUCUCUUGAACCUUCAAACUACAGUCACGUAGACUAAUUUAGAUAUCUUAAAAUAUAUUAAAAAAUUAAUAUAUGAAGAUCACUAAUAUGACUUAGUUGUCGAAUACAUAGAAGAUGUGAAAUACGCAAUUAACAAUAACAUGGGUAGUUGAGAGAACAAGAGUUUCCACAAGAAUCAAUAACAGAAGAUUCAAAAGGUGGAUAAUAAGAAGUAAAUAAGAAUAAUAAAUGUAGUAGGAAUUAAAUUACUCUCACCUGUUAUUAUGUCUCUUUUUCUCUCUCUUCUAUGCCUUGCCCAAGGGAAUCUAAUUCUCCUGUUCUUCCUAGGAAACUUUUCUCUUCGAAUCAAUAUCAAUCAAAAAUUUAUUUUGUUUUGCAGACCCUUCAAAAUCAACUUAAAUGGAUGUGUAUGAAUGGCUUAAUGCAAAGAAAACAACAAAAAGAAACUAAAUGCCUAACUGAUAUGCUUAAAAUCAUAAAUUUAGAAUUUUUAUUCUAAUGAAAGCACUGCAAAGAGAAUUCUCUUCACUAUAUGCAAUUUAAAAUGGACCUAUCAAUUCUAAAUGAUGCAGUGAAAUUGCAUAUUUCAUAAACAUUCAUACGGAGUUCUACAAUCUAAUUCAUCCAAAACAAAGACAAUAAAGUACUUCAGUAGAUAUGAACUUAAGAAAUCCUAGCUGGGCAAAAAAAGGGUCUUCAAAAGGAUCAAUAGUUCCUAACAAGCUCUAUAGUUCCUAACAGUUUACAACUUUGCAGACGUUAAGGAUCAAUCUCAUAAAAAAUUGAACAAUGCAAAUCCCAUAAAUUUCUGGUAUGACGUCAAUUCUUAUAUUAAAGUUCACAAGCAGUCAGUUACAAGUCAACCAAGAAGCUAAGGGUUGCUUACCCAUUUGCCCGGGCAAAGGGAGCGGUAGUAUUUAACAAAUUUCUCACAUUCACCAGAGUUAUCACCCUUUGCUGCCAGGCAUCUGUUAUUAAAACCAAUAUUAAGUAAAAGAUUAUAUGUAACACUUUCGCAGAAACCAAAUAGCCAAUGUCAGGCAAUCCACCUAUGAAACUCUAUGUAGCGGGUGAAACAGUGUGUGGUUUCGAUCUUAACUGGUUCAUUCCGGUUUCGAAAUUUUCUACUUAAGUCCUACAGUAUUAAGAAUGUAUAACUGGAUUCCAGCGCCUGCCAAUAGAAGUUGGCUUCGUGAAUUCGGUUAAUUUUUUUUCUGAAACCGUGGAUGUCAAUCAAAUUAAACAACUCCUAAUUUGCCUUCUAAAUGCUCUUUUAUAACAGAAACAAGAAAGGAAACCAAGGAAACCCGAGACCAGGUUCUCUUCCGAUGCAGACCCCUGAUCCUCGAACAAGGGCUUCUCUUCAAUUAAAGGGUAAGGUGUUCUAUUUUGACUCGUCUCUUCAUCAACAAUGUAGACAAAGGUUGAACCAAAUGCAUAAUAUAAAAUUUUAAGAGAUAGAUAUAAAAUUUGAAAUGCAGAUCAAGAAGGAGUGUUGCAAGAAAGAAAGACACAAUUAUUCAUCAUCUAUCUGAGGAAAAGAGGGAAGAAAAUACUUUUUUAUAUACGUACUCUGGCGGCACUGUGGCGGAGCUCCGGCGACACUCCGACGGUACUGGGUGGUUGGGUGGACUGAAGAAAAUGUCAAUAUUUUGUCUUGGAACGGCGGCAGAACGGUGGGCUGGGAGGAGACAACACGACGGCGGAGCAACCGCGUCUAGGGUUUGCCCUUUUUACACCGGCAAUGAAGCGGCACUGCAGCGGGACUGGGUGGCUGGGUGGAGGGAAGACACCUCUUCCGAUUGACUGUGGCUCUCCGGCGACGGUGGUGGGUCGUUAGCACGAGAACUAGCCGACGGUGAUCGCACGUUCGCAAGCAGCACUGCGUCGGGACUGGGUGGCUAGGUGGAGGGAAGACACCUCUUCCGAUGAACUGUGACUCUCCGGCGACGGUGCUAGCUGCUUAGCUCGACAACUAAACGACCGUAGUGGCUCGAUCGGAAGCUUCUCUCUCGUUACGUUCGUUCAGAUGCGCUCUCUCCUUCAGAUUUCGCAAAUGAAACGAAAAACCCAAUUUCAAAA
RNAcentral lists this long non-coding RNA (3340 nucleotides) under Vigna radiata. RNAcentral describes it as "long non-coding RNA (VRAD_LNC015944)". Lineage: Eukaryota; Viridiplantae; Streptophyta; Magnoliopsida; Fabales; Fabaceae. The record is from RNAcentral.